UACGUAGGGGGCAAGCGUUGUCCGGAAUUAUUGGGCGUAAAGCGCGCGCAGGCGGCUUCUUAAGUCAGGUGUGAAAGCCCACGGCUCAACCGUGGAGGGCCAUCUGAAACUGGGAAGCUUGAGUGCAGGAGAGGAGAGCGGAAUUCCACGUGUAGCGGUGAAAUGCGUAGAGAUGUGGAGGAACACCCGUGGCGAAGGCGGCUCUCUGGCCUGUAACUGACGCUGAGGCGCGAAAGCGUGGGGAGCAAAC
Molecule: ribosomal RNA, 250 nt
Filed under: uncultured Bacilli bacterium
Lineage: Bacteria; Bacillati; Bacillota; Bacilli
Description: partial 16S ribosomal RNA
Rfam family: Bacterial small subunit ribosomal RNA
Source: RNAcentral